RNAcentral lists this long non-coding RNA (415 nucleotides) under Cyanistes caeruleus (blue tit). RNAcentral describes it as "lncRNA (ENSCCEG00000019747.1)". The record is from RNAcentral. Lineage: Eukaryota; Metazoa; Chordata; Aves; Passeriformes; Paridae.
CCCGCCUCCCGCACGGCCGCGCUCGCACACACGGAACCUCAAAAUGGCAUCCCGGCACGGCCUCCCCGGGAGCCGCGCCGCGCCAGCCUCUCCUCAAAUAGGCAGGAAAAGCCUUUCCUCGGGCUCCGGCGUUUCCGCCACCUGCCCGGCCGCGUCCCCUCUCUGCGGCAGCCGAGGGGAACCAGUGCCCCGCUCCGGGAAGCGUCGCUGCCCUGCCAGGCAGGCCUCCCUCCUUCGGGCCACCUCUGCCCUGGCUCCACACUCACCCGAGGUGCGCUACCCUCAGACACGAACCCGUCUUACUCAGAAACAAGGAACUGGACUAGGUUCUACUGCAAAUCAAACAAGACUUUCAAUUUGGAGAGUCAUCCUUAUCUACAAAAGCAGCUUCUCCAUCCCUUCAGAGAACUUCUAA